Small nucleolar RNA from Artibeus jamaicensis (Jamaican fruit-eating bat), 99 nucleotides. RefSeq annotates it as small nucleolar RNA SNORD16. Lineage: Eukaryota; Metazoa; Chordata; Mammalia; Chiroptera; Phyllostomidae. The transcript has a single exon. The record is from RefSeq and is a predicted model, not a curated record.
UUUCCCAAUGAUGUAAUUUUCAUCUUACUCUGUUUUCAGCCACAGUUGCCUCCUGUUAGUAAGCUCAUUCAGAAGGGUGAUGAAAACUCUUACUGAGAA